AGACCCGAAACCCGGUGAUCUAGCCAUGGGCAGGUUGAAGGUUGGGUAACACUAACUGGAGGACCGAACCGACUAAUGUUGAAAAAUUAGCGGAUGACCUGUGGCUGGGGGUGAAAGGCCAAUCAAACCGGGAGAUAGCUGGUUCUCCCCGAAAGCUAUUUAGGUAGCGCCUCGUGAAUUCAUCUCCGGGGGUAGAGCACUGUUUCGGCUAGGGGGCCAUCCCGGCUUACCAACCCGAUGCAAACUGCGAAUACCGGAGAAUGUUAUCACGGGAGACACACGGCGGGUGCUAACGUCCGUCGUGAAGAGGGAAACAACCCAGACCGCCAGCUAAGGUCCCAAAGUCAUGGUUAAGUGGGAAACGAUGUGGGAAGGCCCAGACAGCCAGGAUGUUGGCUUAGAAGCAGCCAUCAUUUAAAGAAAGCGUAAUAGCUCACUGGUCGAGUCGGCCUGCGCGGAAGAUGUAACGGGGCUAAACCAUGCACCGAAGCUGCGGCAGCGACACUCAGGUGUUGUUGGGUAGGGGAGCGUUCUGUAAGCCUGCGAAGGUGGCCUGUGAGGGUUGCUGGAGGUAUCAGAAGUGCGAAUGCUGACAUAAGUAACGAUAAAGCGGGUGAAAAGCCCGCUCGCC
This 631-nucleotide ribosomal RNA is filed under the name Salmonella enterica subsp. enterica serovar Infantis. RNAcentral's name for it is "partial 23S ribosomal RNA". It matches the Rfam family "Bacterial large subunit ribosomal RNA", at positions 711 to 1338 of the family's 2925-position model. RNAcentral also lists the same sequence under 2 other names. Lineage: Bacteria; Pseudomonadati; Pseudomonadota; Gammaproteobacteria; Enterobacterales; Enterobacteriaceae. The record is from RNAcentral.